CCUACGGGGGGCUGCAGUCGAGGAUCUUCGUCAAUGGGCGAAAGCCUGAACGAGCGACGCCGCGUGCGGGAUGAAGGCCCUUGGGUUGUAAACCGCUGUCAGGGGGGAUGAAACCGUAAGGUUGACAGAGCCCCAGAGGAAGCACGGGCUAAGUUCGUGCCAGCAGCCGCGGUAAUACGAACUGUGCGAACGUUACUCGGAAUCACUGGGCUUACAGGGUGCGUAGGUGGCUUGUUAAGCAGGGUGUGAAAUCCCUCGGCUCAACCGAGGAACUG
Molecule: ribosomal RNA, 275 nt
Filed under: uncultured Planctomyces sp.
Lineage: Bacteria; Pseudomonadati; Planctomycetota; Planctomycetia; Planctomycetales; Planctomycetaceae
Description: partial 16S ribosomal RNA
Rfam family: Bacterial small subunit ribosomal RNA
Source: RNAcentral